Molecule: transfer RNA, 71 nt
Filed under: Axinella corrugata
Lineage: Eukaryota; Metazoa; Porifera; Demospongiae; Axinellida; Axinellidae
Description: tRNA-Arg
Rfam family: tRNA
About the family: Transfer RNA (tRNA) molecules are approximately 80 nucleotides in length. Their secondary structure includes four short double-helical elements and three loops (D, anti-codon, and T loops). Further hydrogen bonds mediate the characteristic L-shaped molecular structure. tRNAs have two regions of fundamental functional importance: the anti-codon, which is responsible for specific mRNA codon recognition, and the 3' end, to which the tRNAs corresponding amino acid is attached (by aminoacyl-tRNA synthetases). tRNAs cope with the degeneracy of the genetic code in two manners: having more than one tRNA (with a specific anti-codon) for a particular amino acid; and 'wobble' base-pairing, i.e. permitting non-standard base-pairing at the 3rd anti-codon position.
Source: RNAcentral
AUGUUUGUAAUUUAAUGGUAAAAUAUCUGUCUUCGGAAUAGAAAAUAGGGGUUCAACUCCCUUCAGACAUU